UCCAAAACAACGUGGGCUUCAUAAAUAAUUGGAGCAAUUUUGAGGGCAAGGCUGGCCUGUUAUGGCGGGACAGUAUCCAUCCCACUCUGGAAGGUGCAGAUCUGGAGGAGUCUUGGAUAUAGAGUGUUUGGUGAAAUGGGAUAUUUGAAUGCUGUUGUCCCAUCACUCUCACACGUUCACUCAGUCGAGUUAAACAUGCUCCUGAGGCUGAGUGACCACUGUUCCUGCCCUUCUCCCCUCCGUG
This is a long non-coding RNA of Silurus meridionalis, 244 nucleotides long. RefSeq lists it as uncharacterized. The record is from RefSeq and is a predicted model, not a curated record. The transcript has 3 exons. Lineage: Eukaryota; Metazoa; Chordata; Actinopteri; Siluriformes; Siluridae.